This is a long non-coding RNA of Zingiber officinale, 834 nucleotides long. RefSeq lists it as uncharacterized. Lineage: Eukaryota; Viridiplantae; Streptophyta; Magnoliopsida; Zingiberales; Zingiberaceae. The transcript has 3 exons. The record is from RefSeq and is a predicted model, not a curated record.
UUUAUAGAACUAAAGAAUAUCAAAACUGAGAAUGAAUACUCGUAUGUCCUAAAUACUGUAACUCGUGACUCAUUUUAACAGCAGGGUAGCAACUUGUUAAACAGUACAUGCAAUUGAAUUAGCAUUUACGAGACUACACCAAUGAAUAUAAUCAGUGUGAUAUUAUAGAUUACUUUUAAAUAAAAUUAAAUUAGUAAUAUGUUUUAAAUUCUUGUACUUCAUUUGCUGUUUUCACAUAUUAUGCAUAAUUAAAUACUGUUUUAGUUAUCUCUUUUUAUAAUCAAUUAUUCUUGCAUCAUUAUGAUACCGCGUGCUCUUGUACAGAUACACCAUGAGCAUUGUUUAGCAUCUUAAUAGCAGUCCUUGAACCGACAAGAGAGCUGUGCUUAUGAAAUUAUUGCAUCAUCCGAGCGAACAUUGUUAGUCAUGGGAAGACAAUUCAUUUGGCGCAUGGAAAUUCGAAGGCAUUCCCAGUAGAGGUACUCCUCUAACAUUCUACAGUUUUGACAUCCUGUCGCCAUGUUUCUCCAGGAAUCAAGAUGAGGGCUGCAACUGCAACUAUCUUCACCUCACGACUUUCUUCACCAGUUGAUGCUUUGACAGGAAACAGUGAUCGGAAAUAGCCAUGGUCCUGGAUGUCAUUAUCUGGUUUCGCUAUCUCAGGAAAGGGAUUUCAAAUUCUCACCAACUCUGCUGCAUAAAGCUAUUUAUUCAACGUCACGUUGCAGAAAAUCAGAAACGGAGCUGAGUUAUCAGCCUGCAUGUUCUGCUCCUACCAAACCUCCUUCCUUCCUGUGAAAUAAAGGAAUCCCCCUUUUAUGAUUCGCUGACAAC